Molecule: ribosomal RNA, 936 nt
Filed under: Alcanivorax sp. HI0007
Lineage: Bacteria; Pseudomonadati; Pseudomonadota; Gammaproteobacteria; Oceanospirillales; Alcanivoracaceae
Description: bacterial LSU rRNA
Rfam family: Bacterial large subunit ribosomal RNA
Source: RNAcentral
GAAGAUGCGGUAACACGCAUUGGAGGACCGAACCGACUACCGUUGAAAAGUUAGCGGAUGACCUGUGGAUCGGAGUGAAAGGCUAAUCAAGCUCGGAGAUAGCUGGUUCUCCCCGAAAGCUAUUUAGGUAGCGCCUCGGACGAAUACCACUGGGGGUAGAGCACUGUUUCGGCUAGGGGGUCAUCCCGACUUACCAAACCGAUGCAAACUCCGAAUACCAGUGAGUACUAUCCGGGAGACACACGGCGGGUGCUAACGUCCGUCGUGAAGAGGGAAACAACCCAGACCGCCAGCUAAGGUCCCCAAAUUCCAGUUAAGUGGGAAACGAUGUGGGAAGGCUCAGACAGCUAGGAGGUUGGCUUAGAAGCAGCCACCCUUUAAAGAAAGCGUAAUAGCUCACUAGUCGAGUCGGCCUGCGCGGAAGAUGUAACGGGGCUCAAACUGGAUACCGAAGCUGCGGCAGCAGACUUGUUCUGCUGGGUAGGGGAGCGUUGUGUAAGCCUGUGAAGGUGUGUUGAGAAGCAUGCUGGAGGUAUCACAAGUGCGAAUGCUGACGUGAGUAACGAUAAUGGGGGUGAAAAACCCCCACGCCGAAAGACCAAGGUUUCCUGCGCAACGCUAAUCGGCGCAGGGUGAGUCGGCCCCUAAGGCGAGGCAGAAAUGCGUAGCUGAUGGGAAACGGGUUAAUAUUCCCGUACUUCUUAUAACUGCGAUGGAGAGACGGAGAAGGCUAUGCCUACCGGGCGUUGGUUGUCCCGGGGAAAGGCUGUAGGCUGAGGUGUUAGGCAAAUCCGGCACCUUAAGGCUGAGAGUCGAGACCACUGGUCCUUUGUGACCGGGAAGUGGUUGAUGCCAUGCUUCCAGGAAAAUCUUCUAAGCUUCAGGUUAUAAGGAACCGUACCCCAAACCGACACAGGUGGUUGGGAUGAGUAUUCU